Molecule: non-coding RNA, 325 nt
Organism: Camellia sinensis
Lineage: Eukaryota; Viridiplantae; Streptophyta; Magnoliopsida; Ericales; Theaceae
Source: RefSeq, a predicted model, not a curated record
UAAGCAUGUCUAGAGCUAAGAAUGGUGUUUGCAAACAAGGUAUUUGUCAAUGGAAAACAUGGAAGCGCUUGUUCCGCAGUGGUGGACAGGCCAUGGUCAAUCUUCCUCCUGUGUUUGCUUGAGAAAUUUUCUCUCUUGUUUUCAGUUUUUGUUUGUUUGCCAAGAAAAAAGAAACAAGAAUGUUACAAAAAGGGUAUUUCAAUUUAGUCAUGAGAUUGAUUCCCUUGUUUAAUCAUACUUUCAUGCCAAUGGUUUGUUGUUGUCUGACCUUGUAAUUUGCUCUGCAAUUAUUCUUCUGCAAAUCUGGGUUUUAUUUAUUUAUUUA